RNAcentral lists this transfer RNA (69 nucleotides) under Ictidomys tridecemlineatus (thirteen-lined ground squirrel). Its description in RNAcentral is "Spermophilus tridecemlineatus (thirteen-lined ground squirrel) tRNA". It matches the Rfam family "tRNA". From Rfam's summary of the family: Transfer RNA (tRNA) molecules are approximately 80 nucleotides in length. Their secondary structure includes four short double-helical elements and three loops (D, anti-codon, and T loops). Further hydrogen bonds mediate the characteristic L-shaped molecular structure. tRNAs have two regions of fundamental functional importance: the anti-codon, which is responsible for specific mRNA codon recognition, and the 3' end, to which the tRNAs corresponding amino acid is attached (by aminoacyl-tRNA synthetases). tRNAs cope with the degeneracy of the genetic code in two manners: having more than one tRNA (with a specific anti-codon) for a particular amino acid; and 'wobble' base-pairing, i.e. permitting non-standard base-pairing at the 3rd anti-codon position. The record is from Rfam by way of RNAcentral. Lineage: Eukaryota; Metazoa; Chordata; Mammalia; Rodentia; Sciuridae.
GGGGCUGUAGCUCAGCGGCAGAGCACUUGCCUAGCAUGUGUGAGGGCCUGGGUUCAAUCCUCAGCACCA